This 1484-nucleotide ribosomal RNA is filed under the name metagenome. RNAcentral's name for it is "bacterial LSU rRNA". It matches the Rfam family "Bacterial large subunit ribosomal RNA", at positions 1456 to 2925 of the family's 2925-position model. The record is from RNAcentral.
CCCAAGCGAUGGGGUGACGCAGGAAGGUAGCUGGGCCAGUCAGUGGUUGUACUGGUGUAAGAGUGUAGGCCGUGACAUAGGCAAAUCCGUGUCACAUUAAGGCUGAGACUUGAUGCAUACCCGUUGUGGGGAAUUCGGUGAUCCUAUGCUGCCGAGAAAAGCCUCUAGUGAGUUCAUACACGGCCCGUACCCCAAACCGACACAGGUGAUCAGGUAGAGAAUACCAAGGCGAUCGAGAGAACUGUGGUUAAGGAACUCGGCAAAAUGCCCCCGUAACUUCGGGAGAAGGGGGACCAUGCCCGGUGAACAUCUUCACGGUGGGAGCUGGGUGUGGUCGCAGAGACCAGAGAGAAGCGACUGUUUACUAAAAACACAGGUCCGUGCGAAGACGUAAGUAGAUGUAUACGGACUGACGCCUGCCCGGUGCUGGAAGGUUAAGAGGACCGGUUAGCCGUAAGGCGAAGCUGAGAAUUUAAGCCCCAGUAAACGGCGGUGGUAACUAUAACCAUCCUAAGGUAGCGAAAUUCCUUGUCGGGUAAGUUCCGACCUGCACGAAUGGCGUAACGACUUCUCUGCUGUCUCGACCACAGACUCGGCGAAAUUGCACUACGAGUAAAGAUGCUCGUUACGCGCGGCAGGACGAAAAGACCCCGGGACCUUUACUAUAGCUUGGUAUUGGCGUUCGAUUCGGUUUGUGUAGGAUAGGUGGGAGACUGUGAAGCAUGCACGCCAGUGUGUGUGGAGUCGUUGUUGAAAUACCACUCUGAUCGUAUUGGACGUCUAACCUCGGCCCAUGAUCUGGGUUAGGGACAGUGCCUGGUGGGUAGUUUAACUGGGGCGGUUGCCUCCUAAAGAGUAACGGAGGCGCCCAAAGGUUCCCUCAGCCUGGAUGGCAAUCAGGUGUUGAGUGCAAGUGCACAAGGGAGCUUGACUGUGAGACUGACACGUCGAGCAGGGACGAAAGUCGGGACUAGUGAUCCGGCACCGGCAAGUGGAAGCGGUGUCGCUCAACGGAUAAAAGGUACCCCGGGGAUAACAGGCUGAUCUUCCCCAAGAGUCCAUAUCGACGGGAUGGUUUGGCACCUCGAUGUCGGCUCGUCGCAUCCUGGGGCUGGAGUAGGUCCCAAGGGUUGGGCUGUUCGCCCAUUAAAGCGGCACGCGAGCUGGGUUUAGAACGUCGUGAGACAGUUCGGUCUCUAUCCGCCGCGCGCGUAAGAAACUUGAGGAAGGCCGUCCCUAGUACGAGAGGACCGGGACGGACGAACCUCUGGUGUGCCAGUUGUUCCACCAGGAGCAUGGCUGGUUAGCUACGUUCGGAAGGGAUAACCGCUGAAAGCAUCUAAGCGGGAAGCCUGUUCCAAGAUGAGGUUUCUCACCACCUUGCGUGGUUAAGGCCCCCUACAGACCAUGGGGUUGAUAGGCCGGAACUGGAAGCGCAGCAAUGCGUGGAGGUGACCGGUACUAAUAGGCCGAGGGCUUACACA